This 1631-nucleotide ribosomal RNA is filed under the name Bacillus sp. AB304d. RNAcentral describes it as "bacterial SSU rRNA". The stretch from base 1 to 1155 matches the Rfam family "Bacterial small subunit ribosomal RNA", at positions 371 to 1533 of the family's 1533-position model. Lineage: Bacteria; Bacillati; Bacillota; Bacilli; Caryophanales; Bacillaceae. The record is from RNAcentral.
AUGCAGGMAMRUCUGACGGACACGCCGCGUGAUUUUGAAGGUUUUCGGAUCGUAAAGCUCUGUUGUUAGGGAAGAACAAGUGCAAGAGUAACUGCUUGCACCUUGACGGUACCUAACCAGAAAGCCACGGCUAACUACGUGCCAGCAGCCGCGGUAAUACGUAGGUGGCAAGCGUUGUCCGGAAUUAUUGGGCGUAAAGGGCUCGCARGCGGUUUCUUAAGUCUGAUGUGAAAGCCCCCGGCUCAACCGGGGAGGGUCAUUGGAAACUGGGAAACUUGAGUGCAGAAGAGGAGAGUGGAAUUCCACGUGUAGCGGUGAAAUGCGUAGAGAUGUGGAGGAACACCAGUGGCGAAGGCGACUCUCUGGUCUGUAACUGACGCUGAGGAGCGAAAGCGUGGGGAGCGAACAGGAUUAGAUACCCUGGUAGUCCACGCCGUAAACGAUGAGUGCUAAGUGUUAGGGGGUUUCCGCCCCUUAGUGCUGCAGCUAACGCAUUAAGCACUCCGCCUGGGGAGUACGKGUCGCAAGACUGAAACUCAAAGGAAUUGACGGGGGCCCGCACAAGCGGYGGAGCAUGUGGUUUAAUUCGAAGCAACGCGAAGAACCUUACCAGGUCUUGACAUCCUCUGACAACCCUAGAGAUAGGGCUUUCCCUUCGGGGACAGAGUGACAGGUGGUGCAUGGUUGUCGUCAGCUCGUGUCGUGAGAUGUUGGGWUAAGUCCCGCAACGAGCGCAACCCUUGAUCUUAGUUGCCAGCAUUCAGUUGGGCACUCUAAGGUGACUGCCGGUGACAAACCGGAGGAAGGUGGGGAUGACGUCAAAUCAUCAUGCCCCUUAUGACCUGGGCUACACACGUGCUACAAUGGACAGAACAAAGGGCUGCGAGACCGCAAGGUUUAGCCAAUCCCACAAAUCUGUUCUCAGUUCGGAUCGCAGUCUGCAACUCGACUGCGUGAAGCUGGAAUCGCUAGUAAUCGCGGAUCAGCAUGCCGCGGUGAAUACGUUCCCGGGCCUUGUACACACCGCCCGUCACACCACGAGAGUUUGCAACACCCGAAGUCGGUGAGGUAACCUUUAUGGAGCCAGCCGCCGAAGGUGGGGCAGAUGAUUGGGGUGAUAGUCGUACAUGUMACAUGAGUUUGAUCCUGGCUCAGGACGAACGCUGGCGGCGUGCCUAAUACAUGCAAGUCGAGCGGACAGAAGGGAGCUUGCUCCCGGAUGUUAGCGGCGGACGGGUGAGUAACACGUGGGUAACCUGCCUGUAAGACUGGGAUAACUCCGGGAAACCGGAGCUAAUACCGGAUAGUUCCUUGAUCCGCAUGGUUCAAGGAUGAAAGACGGUUUCGGCUGUCACUUACAGAUGGACCCGCGGCGCAUUAGCUAGUUGGUGAGGUAACGGCUCACCAAGGCGACGAUGCGUAGCCGACCUSAGAGGGUGAUCGGCCACACUGGGACUGAGACACGGCCCAGACUCCUACGGKAGGCAGCAGUAGGGAAUCUUCCGCAAUGGACSAAAGUCUGACGGAGCAACGCCGCGUGAGUGAUGAAGGUUUUCGGAUCGUAAAGCUACUGUUGUUAGGGAAGAACAAGUGCAAGAGUAAAAAAAUCACUGACGGUACCUACAAAGCCC